UGGUUCUGGCAUCGAUGAAGAACGCAGCGAAAUGCGAUAAGUAGUGUGAAUUGCAGAAUUCAGUGAAUCAUCGAAUCUUUGAACGCACAUUGCGCCCCUUGGUAUUCCAUGGGGCAUGCCUGUUCGAGCGUCAUUUGUACUCUCAAGCUUAGCUUGGUGUUGGGUGUUUGUCCUCUCUUUUUGUUUGGACUCGCCUCAAAAAGAUUGGCAGCCGGUGUAUUGGUUUUUGAAGCGCAGCACAAUUUGCGCUUCUAGCGAAUAAUCAUCAGCUUUCCAUCAAGUAUUUUAACACUUUUGACCUCGGAUCAGGUAGGGAUACCCGCUGA
This 326-nucleotide unclassified non-coding RNA is filed under the name uncultured fungus. RNAcentral's name for it is "partial contains 5.8S ribosomal RNA and internal transcribed spacer 2". The stretch from base 1 to 133 matches the Rfam family "5.8S ribosomal RNA", at positions 22 to 154 of the family's 154-position model. The record is from RNAcentral. Lineage: Eukaryota; Fungi.